This 214-nucleotide long non-coding RNA is filed under the name Mytilus galloprovincialis (Mediterranean mussel). Lineage: Eukaryota; Metazoa; Mollusca; Bivalvia; Mytilida; Mytilidae. The record is from RNAcentral.
GCUGUUACAAAAUGAUAGAAAUUAUUAUAAAUUAAGGAAUGUAUCUCCCUCAUGCAAAGCUCUGAUUCGUUUCACGGAUUUGGCUAUACUUUUUGGACCUUUUGGAUUAUAGCUCUUCAUCUUUUUUAUAUAAGCUUUGGAUUUCAAAUAUUUUGGCCACGAGCAUCACUGAAGAGACAUGUAUUGUCGAAAUGCGCAUCUGGUGCAAGAAAAU